This 401-nucleotide ribosomal RNA is filed under the name uncultured Thermovirga sp. Its description in RNAcentral is "bacterial SSU rRNA". It matches the Rfam family "Bacterial small subunit ribosomal RNA", at positions 987 to 1382 of the family's 1533-position model. The record is from RNAcentral. Lineage: Bacteria; Thermotogati; Synergistota; Synergistia; Synergistales; Thermovirgaceae.
UGGUACGGAUCUGAAAGGUGAAGGACUUACUCUUCGGAGUGAGAGCGUACACAGGUGCUGCAUGGCUGUCGUCAGCUCGUGUCGUGAGAUGUUGGGUUAAGUCCCGCAACGAGCGUUCAACCCUGCAUUCAGUUGCCAUCGGUAAGGCCGGGCACUCUGGAUGGACUGCCGGCGACAAGCCGGAGGAAGGUGGGGACGACGUCAAGUCAUCAUGGCCCUUAUGUCCAGGGCGACACACGUGCUACAAUGGCCGGCACAACGGGAAGCGAAGGGGCGACCCUGAGCGGAUCCCACAAAAGCCGGUCUCAGUUCGGAUUGCAGUCUGCAACUCGACUGCAUGAAGUUGGAAUCGCUAGUAAUCGUGGAUCAGCCAAGCCGCGGUGAAUACGUUCCCGGGCCUU